This 232-nucleotide ribosomal RNA is filed under the name Staphylococcus aureus. RNAcentral's name for it is "partial 23S ribosomal RNA". It matches the Rfam family "Bacterial large subunit ribosomal RNA", at positions 2156 to 2387 of the family's 2925-position model. The record is from RNAcentral. Lineage: Bacteria; Bacillati; Bacillota; Bacilli; Caryophanales; Staphylococcaceae.
UUUGAAACGUGAGCGCUAGCUUACGUGGAGGCGCUGGUGGGAUACUACCCUAGCUGUGUUGGCUUUCUAACCCGCACCACUUAUCGUGGUGGGAGACAGUGUCAAGCGGGCAGUUUGACUGGGGCGGGCGCCUCCUAAAAGGUAACGGAGGCGCUCAAAGGUUCCCUCAGAAUGGUUGGAAAUCAUUCAUAGAGUGUAAAGGCAUAAGGGAGCUUGACUGCGAGACCUACAA